GAAAUGCGAUACGUAAUGCGAAUUGCAAAACCUCGUGAAUCAUCAAAAUUUUGAACGCACAUUGCGCUUCCGGAAAAUGUCCGGUAGCAUACCUAACUGAGUGUCCGUGAACCCCACUCAACGAUGCAAUCAUUCGUGAUUGUGUCCGUUGGAAUAUGUCGUUGCUGGUUAUUUGAAUGACCAGCUACGAUGAAAUUAGUGUAUCCAAGGCACUUGUGUCUUUGUUAUCCUACGUUGUAUCGUUUCAUUUCGAUUUUCGACGUGGUGUUCUAUUAAGUUUAAGGGUUUAACUACUUGCAAACAUUUUGAGCAUUGUGUCUGGAGAUUAAUGUGUGAUUAAUGCGUACGUGAUUAACUAAUUACAUCCGGAUCUCAGAUUAAGUAAGAAGACCCGCUGAAUUUAAGCAUAUAAUUAAGCGGAGGAAAAGAAACUAACUAGGAUUCCCUC
RNAcentral lists this ribosomal RNA (448 nucleotides) under Synedra sp. 26 LG-2014. RNAcentral's name for it is "eukaryotic LSU rRNA". The stretch from base 1 to 106 matches the Rfam family "5.8S ribosomal RNA", at positions 50 to 154 of the family's 154-position model. The record is from RNAcentral. Lineage: Eukaryota; Bacillariophyta; Fragilariophyceae; Fragilariales; Fragilariaceae.